AUUGAACGCUGGCGGCAGGCCUAACACAUGCAAGUCGAGCGCGAAAGCACUUCGGUGUGAGUAGAGCGGCGGACGGGUGAGUAACGCGUAGGAAUCUACCUGGUAGUGGGGGACAACUCGGGGAAACUCGAGCUAAUACCGCAUACGCCCUACGGGGGAAAGCGGGGGACCUUCGGGCCUCGCGCUAUCAGAUGAGCCUGCGUUGGAUUAGCUAGUUGGUGGGGUAAUGGCCUACCAAGGCGACGAUCCAUAGCUGGUCUGAGAGGAUGAUCAGCCACACCGGGACUGAGACACGGCCCGG
RNAcentral lists this ribosomal RNA (301 nucleotides) under uncultured Congregibacter sp. Its description in RNAcentral is "bacterial SSU rRNA". It matches the Rfam family "Bacterial small subunit ribosomal RNA", at positions 30 to 334 of the family's 1533-position model. The record is from RNAcentral. Lineage: Bacteria; Pseudomonadati; Pseudomonadota; Gammaproteobacteria; Cellvibrionales; Halieaceae.